CGCCCAGACUCCUACGGGAGGCAGCAGUGGGGAAUAUUGCACAAUGGGGGAAACCCUGAUGCAGCGACGCCGCGUGAAGGAAGAAGUAUUUCGGUAUGUAAACUUCUAUCAGCAGGGAAGAAAAUGACGGUACCUGACUAAGAAGCCCCGACUAACUACGUGCCAGCAGCCGCGGUAAUACGUAGGUGGCAAGCGUUAUCCGGAUUUACUGGGUGUAAAGGGCGUGUAGGCGGGGACGCAAGUCAGAUGUGAAAGCCACGGGCUCAACCUGUGGCCUGCAUUUGAAACUGUGUUUCUUGAGUACUGGAGAGGCAGACGGAAUUCCUAGUGUAGCGGUGAAAUGCGUAGAUAUUAGGAGGAACACCAGUGGCGAAGGCGGUCUGCUGGACAGCAACUGACGCUGAGGCGCGAAAGCGUGGGGAGCAAACAGGAUUAGAUACCCGCGUAC
RNAcentral lists this ribosomal RNA (448 nucleotides) under uncultured bacterium. RNAcentral describes it as "bacterial SSU rRNA". It matches the Rfam family "Bacterial small subunit ribosomal RNA", at positions 328 to 793 of the family's 1533-position model. The record is from RNAcentral.